AGACCUACGGGAUGCAGCAGUGAGGAAUAUUGGUCAAUGGCCGGAAGGCUGAACCAGCCAAGCCGCGUGAAGGACGAAGGUGCCAAGCAUUGUAAACUUCUUUUGUCAAGGGACAAAAUCAGGCUCGAGAGCCUGACCGAGGGUACUUGAAGAAAAAGCAUCGGCUAACUCCGUGCCAGCAGCCGCGGUAAUACGGAGGAUGCGAGCGUUAUCCGGAUUUAUUGGGUUUAAAGGGUGCGUAGGGGGGCUGUUAAGGCAGCGGUAAA
This 266-nucleotide ribosomal RNA is filed under the name uncultured bacterium. RNAcentral's name for it is "partial 16S ribosomal RNA". It matches the Rfam family "Bacterial small subunit ribosomal RNA", at positions 335 to 598 of the family's 1533-position model. The record is from RNAcentral.